This 253-nucleotide ribosomal RNA is filed under the name uncultured bacterium. RNAcentral's name for it is "partial 16S ribosomal RNA". It matches the Rfam family "Bacterial small subunit ribosomal RNA", at positions 524 to 776 of the family's 1533-position model. The record is from RNAcentral.
UACGGGGGGGGCAAGCGUUGUUCGGAAUUACUGGGCGUAAAGGGCUCGUAGGCGGCCAACUAAGUCAUACGUGAAAUCCCUCGGCUUAACCGGGGAACUGCGUCUGAUACUGGAUGGCUUGAGUUCGGGAGAGGUGAGCGGAACUGCGAGUGUAGAGGUGAAAUUCGUAGAUAUUCGCAAGAACACCAGUGGCGAAGGCGGCUCACUGGCCCGAUACUGACGCUGAGGCACGAAAGCGUGGGGAGCAAACAGG